RNAcentral lists this unclassified non-coding RNA (203 nucleotides) under fungal sp. Its description in RNAcentral is "partial internal transcribed spacer region". Lineage: Eukaryota; Fungi. The record is from RNAcentral.
AGGCGGCGUUGAGUCCGAACGUCGCACCGAGGUUCGCCUCGUAGAUGUCGUCGCCGAUCUGGAACACGGCACGGUUGUCGCAGCGCACCUGGUUGUUGCGCUCGAAGGUCCGGUGGCACCCCGGGAGAUCGAGUGUCUCGUUCACCGUGCGCUUGGUGGCGAAGGGGAAGAAGAAGACGGCCAUCAACACGAACACGAUGACC